AUUCCUACGGGACGCAGCAGUGGGGAAUAUUGGGCAAUGGGCGCAAGCCUGACCCAGCAACGCCGCGUGAAGGAAGAAGGCUUUCGGGUUGUAAACUGCUUUUAAGAGGGAAGAGCAGAAGACGGUACCUCUUGAAUAAGCCACGGCUAACUACGUGCCAGCAGCCGCGGUAAUACGGAGGUGGCAAGCGUUGUCCGGAUUGACUGGAAGUAAAGGGCGUGCAGCCGGGAAGACAAGUCAGAUGUGAAAUCCCGCGGCUCAACCGAGGAACUGCAUUUGAAACUGUUU
This 288-nucleotide ribosomal RNA is filed under the name uncultured bacterium. Its description in RNAcentral is "partial 16S ribosomal RNA". It matches the Rfam family "Bacterial small subunit ribosomal RNA", at positions 335 to 638 of the family's 1533-position model. The record is from RNAcentral.